Molecule: ribosomal RNA, 497 nt
Filed under: uncultured bacterium
Lineage: Bacteria
Description: partial 16S ribosomal RNA
Rfam family: Bacterial small subunit ribosomal RNA
Source: RNAcentral
GAUGAACGCUGGCGGCGUGCCUAAUACAUGCAAGUCGAGCGAACAGACGAGGAGCUUGCUCCUCUGACGUUAGCGGCGGAGGGGUGAGUAACACGUGGAUAACCUACCUAUAAGACUGGGAUAACUUCGGGAAACCGGAGCUAAUACCGGAUAAGAUGUUGAACCGCAUGGUUCAACAGUGAAAGACGGUCUUGCUGUCACUUAUAGAUGGAUCCGCGCCGCAUUAGCUAGUUGGUAAGGUAACGGCUUACCAAGGCAACGAUGCGUAGCCGACCUGAGAGGGUGAUCGGCCACACUGGAACUGAGACACGGUCCAGACUCCUACGGGAGGCAGCAGUAGGGAAUCUUCCGCAAUGGGCGAAAGCCUGACGGAGCAACGCCGCGUGAGUGAAGAAGGUCUUCGGAUCGUAAAACUCUGUUAUUAGGGAAGAACAAAUGUGUAAGUAACUAUGCACGUCUUGACGGUACCUAAUCAGAAAGCCACGGCUAACUACGUG